GCCCAGACUCCUACGGGAGGCAGCAGUGAGGAAUAUUGGUCAAUGGGCGGGAGCCUGAACCAGCCAAGUCGCGUGAGGGACGACGGUCCUAUGGAUUGUAAACCUCUUUUGUCGGGGAGCAAAGAGAUCACGUGUGGUCAAAAGCGAGAGUACCCGAAGAAAAAGCAUCGGCUAACUCCGUGCCAGCAGCCGCGGUAAUACGGAGGAUGCGAGCGUUAUCCGGAUUUAUUGGGUUUAAAGGGUGCGCAGGCGGAGGUGCAAGUCAGCGGUCAAAUUGCGGGGCUCAACCCCGUACUGCCGUUGAAACUGGCAGUCUCGAGUUGGAGAGAAGUAUGCGGAAUGCGCGGUGUAGCGGUGAAAUGCAUAGAUAUCGCGCAGAACUCCGAUUGCGAAGGCAGCAUGCCGGCUCCACACUGACGCUGAGGCACGAAAGCGUGGGUAUCGAACAGGAUUAGAUACCCUUGUAA
This 467-nucleotide ribosomal RNA is filed under the name uncultured bacterium. RNAcentral's name for it is "bacterial SSU rRNA". It matches the Rfam family "Bacterial small subunit ribosomal RNA", at positions 329 to 793 of the family's 1533-position model. The record is from RNAcentral.